This 178-nucleotide small nuclear RNA is filed under the name Huiozyma naganishii CBS 8797. RNAcentral describes it as "Kazachstania naganishii CBS 8797 U4 spliceosomal RNA". It matches the Rfam family "U4 spliceosomal RNA". From Rfam's summary of the family: U4 small nuclear RNA (U4 snRNA) is a component of the major U2-dependent spliceosome. Lineage: Eukaryota; Fungi; Ascomycota; Saccharomycetes; Saccharomycetales; Saccharomycetaceae. The record is from Rfam by way of RNAcentral.
AUCCUUAUGCACGGGAAAUACGCAUAUCAGUGAGGAUCCGUCCGAGAUUGUGUUUUUGCUGGUUGAAAUUUAAUUUAAAACCAGACCGUCUCCUCAUAGUCGCCAGUAGGUGUUCGCUUUUUAGAACAUUCUCCAGACUAUGUAGGGAAUUUUUGGCCUCGCAUAUCGCAAAUACGCG